Molecule: ribosomal RNA, 508 nt
Filed under: uncultured bacterium
Lineage: Bacteria
Description: partial 16S ribosomal RNA
Rfam family: Bacterial small subunit ribosomal RNA
Source: RNAcentral
AUUGAACGCUGGCGGCAUGCCUUACACAUGCAAGUCGAACGGCAGCGGGGGAGAAGCUUGCUUUUCCUGCCGGCGAGUGGCGAACGGGUGAGUAAUACAUCGGAACGUGCCCUGUAGUGGGGGAUAACUAGUCGAAAGAUUAGCUAAUACCGCAUACGACCUGAGGGUGAAAGUGGGGGACCGCAAGGCCUCAUGCUAUAGGAGCGGCCGAUGUCUGAUUAGCUAGUUGGUGGGGUAAAGGCCUACCAAGGCGACGAUCAGUAGCUGGGCUGGGAGGACGAUCAGCCGCAACGGGACUGAGACACGGCCCAGACUCCUACGGGAGGCAGCAGUGGGGAAUUUUGGACAAUGGGCGAAAGCCUGAUCCAGCAAUGCCGCGUGUGUGAAGAAGGCCUUCGGGUUGUAAAGCACUUUUGUCCGGAAAGAAAUGGCUCUGGUUAAUACCUGGGGUCGAUGACGGUACCGGAAGAAUAAGGACCGGCUAACUACGUGCCAGCCGCCGCCGUAA